This 253-nucleotide ribosomal RNA is filed under the name uncultured bacterium. RNAcentral's name for it is "partial 16S ribosomal RNA". It matches the Rfam family "Bacterial small subunit ribosomal RNA", at positions 524 to 776 of the family's 1533-position model. The record is from RNAcentral.
UACGUAGGGUGCGAGCGUUAAUCGGAAUUACUGGGCGUAAAGCGUGCGCAGGCGGUUCGUUGUGUCUGUGGUGAAAGCCCCGGGCUUAACCUGGGAAUGGCCAUGGAAACUGGCGAGCUGGAGUGUGGCAGAGGGGGGUGGAAUUCCGCGUGUAGCAGUGAAAUGCGUAGAGAUGCGGAGGAACACCGAUGGCGAAGGCAGCCCCCUGGGUCGACACUGACGCUCAGGCACGAAAGCGUGGGGAGCAAACAGG